GCUCGUCUUCGACGAGGGACCGCUUCCCGAGGGCAUCGGCCUCGACCGCGAGGCCCUCGCGCGGGCCGGGUUCGAGGCCAAGCCGGGCC
RNAcentral lists this transfer RNA (89 nucleotides) under Agromyces luteolus. RNAcentral's name for it is "tRNA-Asp". The record is from RNAcentral. Lineage: Bacteria; Bacillati; Actinomycetota; Actinomycetes; Micrococcales; Microbacteriaceae.